CUUUCCAUCACGGGCGGUGGCAUUUGACUCUCUUCUGGGCUCGUCCAGAGCAUCAGAGCUACAUGGUUGUGGCAUCGUACGGCUUUCUGGCCGGCAGUUUCUUAUGCGUAAGAAUAGUUCUCUUUGCGUAGGACUCUCCUCCAUGUUUGUGUCUGAUAUUUGUGUGUAUGUCUGUCUGUUUGGGGCUGGAGCUGCUUUGCCUGUGGGUGUUAGCAGUGGUAAUGUGCAGAGUGUGGCAGUGAUGAACUGGAAUGAUGAUUAGUGAGCUUCUGUGUGCUCCACCUUAUGUUAUUUUUGUAGAUGUGGUGCAGCAUUCCCAGCGGGCCCGAGGGAGAUGGAGGAAGAAAGGGUCAUGCCCCAGGAAGGUGAGCUAGAGAUUUGUUGCUGGAAGCAGAGUCUUGUGGUCAGCAGUUCCCUGGUUAAUUUUUGCUUUGUGCUUGUAGGUGUGGAGCAACGUGGAGAGUGGGUCGCUUGCAUGCAGGAGGAGCACGGCAAGGUGAGUGUCAGUCUGAGAGUGGAAGCAGAGCCUAGCAUGGGCCUGUUGUCUCGUUGGUGCUGUCCCCAUUGCCCACUGCUGUUCUGGUUUUACAGGUGGGUGGCAGGCCUUGGCGUGGUGACCUGUAGGCCAUGGCGGUCAGGAUGGGCGUGCAGAGCAGGUUUUGCUGGAAGUUGUGGAGAGGAAGUUGAGUGCUGACAAGAGCCUGAGCAGGUACUGCGUGGGCCUUUCCCAGGCAUGGUUGAGGAUGUCAGGUGAGCAGACUGGUGUUGGGCGUUGUAGGGCUGGUGAGCACUGCCUAGCAGAAGAGUCACUUUGUUAUUUUGUUUUUUGCAGGUGCUGCGGGCUCCCUCUGGGCACAAUGUUGGAGUUGGGAAUUGGCACAGUGCAGGUGAGAAGAGUGCCCAUGGGGUUUUGACGUAGAGUGCUCUUGCAGACGAGGCUGGAGCUGACUGGCCUGGGGGUGACCGCUUGCGCUCCAUUUUGGCAGGUGAUGAAGGUGAAUGUGGUGACCGGAGGAAGAUCAGAGAGGAUGCGGCUGUCAUUGAGAAUGUGUCUUGAAGACAGAUGGUGACCCAGAGCACUGCAGAAGCUAAGUUGAGGGGCCCUGGGUGUUGGUAUGUCUUGACUGUGUGUGUGUGCGUGUAUGCACUGACAGUGAGUGUAGAGUGGAGGGCUGUUCUGGAUGAAUGCUUUGUGUGAGGCAGAGGUGAUGGGGUGUGCAUGGCAGAAGGUGAGGGUGUUCUAGGCGGGGCAGCUCCAGCCUGUGUCUGUGUUGUUGUGUAGUCUAUGUGG
Molecule: long non-coding RNA, 1291 nt
Filed under: Apteryx owenii (little spotted kiwi)
Lineage: Eukaryota; Metazoa; Chordata; Aves; Apterygiformes; Apterygidae
Description: lncRNA (ENSAOWG00000010644.1)
Source: RNAcentral